CAGGGCAGAUUUAUGGGGAAUAUCAAUCACUCUUCUCUUCUGGACCAAUUUCUUAACCUUUGGAAAGCUCAGGACCUAGUAUCAGGGUGGGUGAUAGAAGCUGGUAGUGGAAGAGGACAGGGAAGUGCUUGGGCUGUGUUCGUGGUAGGGCAGUACAGUGCCGUCCUGGAGGUGAUUGGAAUAGCUGGUUUGCCAUUUCAUCACUGGGGUUCUGAACAGGGCCAGGCUGACAGGUGGAGAAACAAGCCAGAGCUCCCUGUCUGAAAAGGACAUAGAGCCUUGCGCUCAGCAGAGGGGAGCUUGGCUAAUGGGGCGACCCAGUGGGCUCCCAUGGGCUGGGGCAGGCAACCACCCAUCCUCAACCCCGUUGUUUCUGCCUUCCUACCAGACAGACCUCUGGGGAUGGAGAGAGAAACAGUUGAGUAGAUCAUGAGCUGAUUAGAGAGAGAGAACCCCUGAUCCUGAAUGCUGGAGUUACUGAGAAGGGCCAGCAUCCUACGAUGGAAAGAACCCAGCAUGGUCACACCGUCUGACUCCUUCUUGGGACUCUACGGGCUAGCUAUGUGGGAGAGUCAGCCCUGCCCCUCCUCUACCACAGAACCCUAUCAUGGUUUACAGUGACAUAGGUAACAGUUGGGGAGCCAGGUGCAUUCAGGGUCAGUAGGCAGGACAAAAUAGGGGACUCUACGUGCAGUGAGGAAAGGCUGCCUUCACGGUGUAGCCUUGCCUCACUGUCAAUAUUUGUUUUCUCCGGAGAGUCACCAGUGACCCAAGCUCUCCUUGCCAGCCUCCUGUGUCAAACCAGGUCCCUUCUCAGUACUGUAAUGGCUCAGUGCUUCAGGAGUGGGUGUGCGAGUGUGUGUGUGAGUGUGUGUGGGUGUGAGUGGGUGUGUACGUACCAAUAAACCUGGUUUUAAGACAAUGUACAAA
Molecule: long non-coding RNA, 930 nt
Filed under: Rattus norvegicus (Norway rat)
Lineage: Eukaryota; Metazoa; Chordata; Mammalia; Rodentia; Muridae
Description: long non-coding RNA NONRATT008719
Source: RNAcentral